GACCCCGCACAAGCGGCGGAGCAUGCGGCUUAAUUCGAUGCAACGCGAAGAACCUUACCAGGGUUUGACAUCCUGCGAAUCUCUUGGAAACAGGAGAGUGCCUUCGGGAACGCAGUGACAGGUGGUGCAUGGCUGUCGUCAGCUCGUGUCGUGAGAUGUUGGUUAAGUCCCGCAACGAGCGCAACCCACGUCUUUAGUUGCCAGCAUUUAGUUGGGCACUCUAGAGAGACUGCCGGUGAUAAACCGGAGGAAGGUGUGGAUGACGUCAAGUCAUCAUGCCCCUUACAUCCUGGGCUACACACGUACUACAAUGCUACGGACAAAGGGCAGCAAGUUCGCGAGGAC
This 345-nucleotide ribosomal RNA is filed under the name uncultured bacterium. RNAcentral's name for it is "bacterial SSU rRNA". It matches the Rfam family "Bacterial small subunit ribosomal RNA", at positions 920 to 1264 of the family's 1533-position model. The record is from RNAcentral.